Molecule: ribosomal RNA, 448 nt
Filed under: uncultured bacterium
Lineage: Bacteria
Description: bacterial SSU rRNA
Rfam family: Bacterial small subunit ribosomal RNA
Source: RNAcentral
ACUCCUACGGGAGGCAGCAGUGGGAAUAUUGGACAAUGGGCGCAAGCCUGAUCCAGCCAUGCCUCGUGAGUGAUGAAGGCCUUAGGGUUGUAAAGCUCUUUUGUCCGGGACGAUAAUGACGGUACCGGAAGAAUAAGCCCCGGCUAACUUCGUGCCAGCAGCCGCGGUAAUACGAAGGGGCGUAGCGUUGCUCGGAAUCACUGGGCGUAAAGGGCGCGUAGGCGGCCAUUCAAGUCGGGGGGUGAAAGCCUGUGGCUCAACCACAGAAUUGCCUUCGAUACUGUUUGGCUUGAGUUUGGUAGAGGUUGGUGGAACUGCGAGUGUAGAGGUGAAAUUCGUAGAUAUUCGCAAGAACACCAGUGGCGAAGGCGGCCAACUGGACCAACACUGACGCUGAGGCGCGAAAGCGUGGGGAGCAAACAGGAUUAGAUACCCUGGUAGGCUCUGC